This 378-nucleotide ribosomal RNA is filed under the name uncultured eukaryote. RNAcentral's name for it is "partial 18S ribosomal RNA". It matches the Rfam family "Eukaryotic small subunit ribosomal RNA", at positions 592 to 976 of the family's 1831-position model. The record is from RNAcentral.
CAAUAGCGUAUAUUUAAGUUGUUGCAGUUAAAAAGCUCGUAGUUGGAUUUCGGGUGGGACGCAGCGGUCUCGCAUUGCGUUUGUACUGCUGCAGUCCUCCUUCUUGCCGGGGGCGGCCUCUCGGACUUCACUGUCUGGGGGUCAGAAUCGGCGAUGUUACUUUGAGUAAAUUAGAGUGUUCAAAGCAAGCUUACGCUCUGAAUAUAAUAGCAUGGGAUAACACGACAGGACUCUGGCCUAUCGUGUUGGUCUAUAGGACCAGAGUAAUGAUUAAGAGGGACAGUCGGGGGCAUUCGUAUUCCGUUGUCAGAGGUGAAAUUCUUGGAUUUACGGAAGACGAACAUCUGCGAAAGCAUUUGCCAAGGAUGUUUUCAUUAA